GCCGGGAUGGCGGAACUGGCAGACGCGCAUGGUUGAGGGCCAUGUGGGGGAGACCCCAUAGGAGUUCAAGUCUCCUUCCCGGCACCA
RNAcentral lists this transfer RNA (87 nucleotides) under Candidatus Coatesiibacteriota bacterium. Its description in RNAcentral is "Candidatus Coatesbacteria bacterium tRNA-Leu". It matches the Rfam family "tRNA". Rfam says of the family: Transfer RNA (tRNA) molecules are approximately 80 nucleotides in length. Lineage: Bacteria; Candidatus Coatesiibacteriota. The record is from RNAcentral.